Molecule: long non-coding RNA, 280 nt
Organism: Cheilinus undulatus (humphead wrasse)
Lineage: Eukaryota; Metazoa; Chordata; Actinopteri; Labriformes; Labridae
Exons: 3
Source: RefSeq, a predicted model, not a curated record
CACGCUGAAAGUUCGGUCGUCAAAGGCGAACAGAGUCGGUCGGAGCUCUCUGAGAAAUUGUUUUUAUUUUCAAAGCGUCGACUAGAACUCGACAAAGACAUCGAGAAGGGCUGCUUAUAGAUUGCAAAGCUGUCUCAUGCUGGGGGGGAGGAUGUGAAGACGUGCACCAAUAAGACCAUGGACAGACUCUUCACAAAUGACGUAAUGGGAAAAUUCAAUAUGCAAGGUGGUGGGCCACAUGGAAAGAGGGCCUUCAAGAAGACUCCCUUCUACUCUGUUA